GGUCAAGUGAAUAAGUGCAUACGACGGAUGCCUUGGCAUUAGAAGGCGAUGAAGGACGUGAUAAUCUGCGAUAAGCUUCGGUUAGCUGAUAAUAAGCAUUAUUAGCCGGAGAUCUCCGAAUGGGAAAACCCAGUGGUCAUCAGACCAUUAUCCUUAACUGAAUACAUAGGUUAAGGAGGCAAACCUAGGGAACUGAAACAUCUAAGUACCUAGAGGAAAAGAAAUCAACCGAGAUUCCCUUAGUAGCGGCGAGCGAACGGGGAACAGCCCUUAAGCAUAUUUUUAAUUAGUAGAAUGUUCUGGAAAGUUCAACGAUACAGGGUGAUAGUCCCGUACACGAAAAUUAGAUUUAUGUGAAAUCGAGUAAGGCGGCGCACGUGAAACGCUGUUUGAAUAUGGGGGGACCACCCUCCAAGGCUAAAUACUCUCUAAUGACCGAUAGUGAACAAGUACCGUGAGGGAAAGGCGAAAAGAACCCCGGGAGGGGAGUGAAAUAGAACCUGAAAUCGUAUGCAUACAAGCAGUAGGAGCGGAUUUAUUCCGUGACUGCGUACCUUUUGUAUAAUGGGUCAGCGACUUACUUCUCAGUAGCAAGGUUAACCAUUAGGGGAGCCGUAGGGAAACCGAGUCUUAAAUGGGCGAUUAGUUGCUGGGAGUAGACCCGAAACCGGGUGAUCUAUCCAUGGCCAGGGUGAAGGUUAGGUAAAACUAACUGGAGGUCCGAACCCACUUAUGUUGAAAAAUGAGGGGAUGAGUUGUGGAUAGGGGUGAAAGGCCAAACAAACCCGGAGAUAGCUGGUUCUCUCCGAAAUCUAUUUAGGUAGAGCGUCAUGUAUUACUUCAGGGGGUAGAGCACUGUUAUGGCUAGCGGGUCGUCAAGACUUAGUAAACCAUUGCAAACUCCGAAUACCUGAAAGUAUGAGCAUGGCAGACACACUGCGGGUGCUAACGUCCGUAGUGGAAAGGGAAACAACCCAGACCGUCAGCUAAGGUCCCAAAAUUGUAGUUAAGUGGGAAACGAUGUGAAAAGGCCCAGACAGCCAGGAGGUUGGCUUAGAAGCAGCCAUUCCUUUAAAGAGUGCGUAAUAGCUCACUGGUCGAGUCGGUUUGCGCGGAAGAUUUAACGGGGCUAAAACUACAUACCGAAGCUACGGAUCGCAAUUUAUUGCGAUGGUAGGAGAGCGUUCUGUAAGCCGUUGAAGGUAUUCUGUGAGGAAUGCUGGAGGUAUCAGAAGUGCGAAUGCUGACAUGAGUAACGAUAAAGGGGGUGAAAAACCCCCUCGCCAGAAGUCCAAGGUUUCCUACGCAACGUUAAUCGGCGUAGGGUUAGUCGGCCCCUAAGGCGAGGCAGAAAUGCGUAGUCGAUGGGAAACAGGUUAAUAUUCCUGUACUUCAUAUAACUGCGAUGGGAAGACGGAGAAGGUUAGCUCAGCUUGGCGAUGGUUGUCCAAGUUUAAGCGUGUAGAUUGGCUAUUAGGAAAAUCCGGUAGCCUUUAUUCAAGGCGUGAUAACGAUCCCUCUUUUGGGAGAAGUGAGUGAUACCAUGCUUCCAGGAAAAUCCUCUAAGCUUCAGGUUAUAUGAAACCGUACCCCAAACCGACACAGGUGGACGAGAUGAGAAUUCUAAGGCGCUUGAGAGAACUCGGGUGAAGGAACUAGGCAAAAUGACACCGUAACUUCGGGAGAAGGUGUGCUCUUGCUGGUGAUUUUACUUGCUAAAUGAGCUGGUAAGAGUUGAAGAUACCAGGUGGCUCCGACUGUUUAUUAAAAACACAGCACUCUGCAAACACGUAAGUGGACGUAUAGGGUGUGACGCCUGCCCGGUGCUUGAAGGUUAAUUGAUGAGGUUAGGAUUCGUCCGAAGCUUUUGAUCGAAGCCCAAGUAAACGGCGGCCGUAACUAUAACGGUCCUAAGGUAGCGAAAUUCCUUGUCGGGUAAGUUCCGACCUGCACGAAUGG
RNAcentral lists this ribosomal RNA (1959 nucleotides) under uncultured Gammaproteobacteria bacterium. It matches the Rfam family "Bacterial large subunit ribosomal RNA", at positions 1 to 1999 of the family's 2925-position model. Lineage: Bacteria; Pseudomonadati; Pseudomonadota; Gammaproteobacteria. The record is from RNAcentral.